This 316-nucleotide ribosomal RNA is filed under the name uncultured Ruminococcus sp. RNAcentral's name for it is "partial 16S ribosomal RNA". Lineage: Bacteria; Bacillati; Bacillota; Clostridia; Eubacteriales; Oscillospiraceae. The record is from RNAcentral.
GGAGUCUGGGCCGUGUCUCAGUCCCAAUGUGGCCGUCCAACCUCUCAGUCCGGCUACUGAUCGUUGCCUUGGUGAGCCGUUACCUCACCAACUAGCUAAUCAGACGCGAGCUCAUCCUUAAGCGAUAAAUCUUUUAUAGCUGUACCAUGCGGUACUACUAUCUUAUGCGGUAUUAUCAGUCAUUUCUAACUGCUAUCCCCCUCUUAAGGGCAGAUUGCUCACGUGUUACUCACCCGUCCGCCACUAAGUUAUCAAAAGCAAGCUCUCGAUAACUCCGUUCGACUUGCAUGUGUUAAGCGUGCCGCCAGCGUUCGUC